CGAUGCCCUGGGCAUGUGUUUAGCAGUUCUAUCUGUGAAUCACCCUUUCUUAGAUAAGAGGUGCAUUUUUUGCAAGGACAGAGACAAGCCAGCUCUACAUUUCCCUCUCAGUUCCAGGGGCCAGGGAGUUUGCUGUAAGAGGUUAGGGCUGGCCUAGGCAUGAGGGGCGUAAAACUUGGGUCAUGUCCAUUAGACCGAUGACGAGGCCAGAGGAGGUCUGUGUCGUGUGUGCCUUGGUGUCUGUCCACUGAAACUCAUAAGCUCAGCCAGGGAGGAGCUGUCUCAUUUUAGGCUUUGGUGCUGGUACUUAUUGACAGUUUCUUGAGAAAGAUGUGAUUUCGGUCCCAGAGCCACAGGAAAUCAGCUCAUGGAAUGUGUCGCUGCAUCAUGUUACUCAGGGUGUGCCCAAGUCUUGUAGCCCAGAAAUCAAUGCUGAGGGCUCUGAAACAGCCCAAGGGUCGCAGUAUACGCCCAAGAGCAGCGGGGGAAAAGGGCAAGGAAUGCCGUCUUUCCAAAGCACGAAGUCACCAGACAAGUCCAUGCCUGAAGAGGAAUGUUGUAAUGUUCAGCUUUUGAAGAUACCCGCGGAAGUGUCUUUCCCUUAACUCACACAGACAUUCACCAUUCGCGACGGUGGCGCUUAGCUCAGCAGGAGCAUGCAGCACUGGUGGCACGCGUGCUGUGUGCCGUGUUAUCCUGCUUUUCCCUGGCGCUGGCGGCACGCGUGCUGUGUGCCAUGUUAUCCUGCUUUUCCCUGGCGCUGGCGGCACGCGUGCUGUGUGCCAUGUUAUCCUGCUUUUCCCUGGCGCUGGCGGCACCUGUGCUGUGUGCCGUGUUAUCCUGCUUUUCCCUGGCGCUGGCGGCACCUCUGCUGUGUGCCGUGUUAUCCUGCUUUUCCCUGGCGCUGGCGGCACCUGUGCUGUGUGCCGUGUUAUCCUGCUUUUCCCUGGCGCUGGUGGCACCUCUGCUGUGUGCCGUGUUAUCCUGCUUUUCCCUGGCGCUGGCGGCACCUGUGCUGUGUGCCGUGUUAUCCUGCUUUUCCCUGGCGCUGGCGGCACCUGUGCUGUGUGCCGUGUUAUCCUGCUUUUCCCUGGCGCUGGCGGCACCUGUGCUGUGUGCUGUGUUAUCCUGCUUUUCCCUGGCGCUGGUGGCACCUGUGCUGUGUGCUGGGGUAUUCACCUCUUCCCUGUGGGGAAUAAGGCUUGAGACUCGCUUCCUUCCUGCCCUUAGGGCUGUAAUAGCUUUGUCCUCACUGUGCCCCUAAACUGAUUUGCUUUUCAGUUACAUAUUCAGCCUCCCAUGGAUUAAAUGCUUAGAUAAUUCAUUAAAUGUGGAGUAGUUACUGAUUGGCUCAUGUCAUCUGGAAAUACAUGACUGAAAGCACUUUGUCAAAACCCUGUGCACAUUGCAACACGCAUGGCUCCGCGGCCCUGCGCGUAUGGGAGCAGCAGGUGGGUCUGCUGCUUAGAGGACGGCUGUGCUCUUCCGCCGCUGAGAUGACUCUGGUGAUGUGUGCACGUCUUGCCAGUUCUGCGUUCGUUUCUCGUCUGUAUACGUAGCUUCCUAUUUCUCGUUGGUUUGUGUAUGUGUUGGGUAAGGCUUUGCUGCCUGGAUAAUGAGUGGUUGAAGCCAUAAUAAAAUGUCUAGGGCGUGGGCAGGCACUGCAGGUGUAUCUGGGCAGCAGUGGUGGUGGCUGUGCUGUCCAUCGGGCGAGUGGUCUGAGAGUGUCUUUGUGCUUCCUCCUCAGGUGUCGAUUGACUGCCCGUGGUCCAUCUACUCCACGGUCAUCGCACUGACCUUCAGCGUACCCUUCAGGACCACGCACACCCUGCUGUCCUCAGGAACACGGAAAUAUGUUCAAGUUUGUGUCCAGAAUUUGUCAGAACUCGACUUUCAGCUGUCAGAUAGUUAUCUUGUAGAUACCGGUGAUAGUACCGACCUGCAACUAGUACCACUGAACACGCAGUCCCAGCAGCCCAUCUACAGCAAGCAGUCGGUGUUCUUCGUCUGGGAACUCAAGUGGACAGAAGAUCCUCCUCCUUCUCUGCACUGCCGGUUCUCUGUCGGAUUUUCCCCAGCUUGUGAGGAGCAGCUGUCUAUCUCCUUAAAGCCGUAUGCUUAUGAAUUUAAAGUGGAAAACUUUUUUACAUUAUACAACGUGAAGGCUGAGAUCUUUCCCCCUUCGGGAAUGGAGUAUUGCAGAACAGGCUCCCUCUGCUCCCUGGAGGUUUUGAUCACGAGGCUCUCAGACCUCUUGGAGGUGGAUAAAGAUGAAGCACUGACUGAAUCUGAUGAGCAUUUUUCGACAAAGCUUAUGUAUGAAGUUGUCGACAACAGUAGCAAUUGGGCAGUGUGUGGGAAAAGCUGCGGUGUCAUCUCCAUGCCAGUGGCUGCUCGGGCCACUCACAGGGUCCACAUGGAAGUAAUGCCGCUCUUCGCCGGGUAUCUCCCUCUGCCCGACGUCAGGCUGUUCAAGUACCUCCCCCAUCAUUCUGCACACUCCUCCCAACUGGACGCUGACAGCUGGAUAGAAAACGACAGCCUGUCGGUAGACAAGCACGGGGACGACCAGCCGGACAGCAGCAGCCUCAAGAGCAGGGGCAGCGUGCAUUCGGCCUGCAGCAGCGAGCACAAAGGCCUACCCAUGCCCCGGCUGCAGGCACUGCCGGCCGGCCAGGUCUUCAACUCCAGCUCGGGCACGCAAGUCCUGGUCAUUCCCAGCCAAGAUGACCACAUCCUGGAAGUCAGUGUAACAUGACAACGCCAGGAUGAACACACGCCACUUCCCAGCUAGGAGUGCACUUUAUGGGACUGUGACUGGACUCUUCUCCGUUCUGGCUCCAACCACACCUUCAGUGGUCCUGCCUGGCCGUGGGGACAUCAGAGAGUGUCAUCACACAGCUGGCCAGCUGAGUUCUGUUGUUGUUUUCAUGCCGCCUGUGAUCUCAGAUUCCUGCUUUUCUCACCCUGUCCCCAUGCUGGUGUCCCAUGCCGCUUACUCAGAGCCCCGGCCUCCCUCCCCCUACCUCACACGCUGCUUACGAAAGUUUCCACCCACGCUGUCUCCACGGAACAGCCUCCAUCUGCUGGCUCUUCAUGGAAGGCCAUUUGUCUUUCAGGUAGACACUCAGCAGGCCUCGCAGUCUUAGUGACGUGUGUGCCUUUCUGGUCACACAGCUGCCCAGUUUCCUGAUAGGGGUGGAUUUGUGUCCCCUAAGGGGUAAAACAGCCAUUUACCGCAGAUCCUCUCGUUGUGCUUUUCUAGAAUAACACCCUUCUAGGGGAGGUGGGUGGGGGGAGGGAGGGAUCAUAACCCCUUCUGUGCCUUGGGAUGCCGGAGCUGGGGGACCUGGAGGCCCAUCAGCCGGAGCCACGUGAAACGUACUGAAGAAAGCUGAGACCCGGCUGUGAGGAGUGCCUCAGUGGUGAGGUGGUUUAGGGAUAAAUGUUUCUGGAACCCUGUGGUCCCCCAUAAUGUUGAUAGAAUAUCAUAUGCACUGGGAGUUAAAUAUAUUUAAUUUAAUAUCAUUAUAUAUGUGGGGGUUAAUAUGUUGUUUUUCUGUCCCUUUAAAGUCUUUACAUGUAAUUGUAGCUGUAUAAUCAUUUUUCUUUUGCAUCUUAAGUCUUAGAAAUUAAAGUAUUCCAUCGUGAGGAUGAGAGAGGUCCUCAGUAUGGUUUUGGUCUGGUUGUAGGGAAGGACUCAAGUCCUGGAAUGUCCUCCACUGGUCUACUCAGUUGCAGUCACACUGUUCCAAUGGAUUAUUUGCUUUCGGUUGUAAAUUUAAUUGUACAUAUGGUUGAUUUAUUAUUUUUAAAAAUACAGACUAACUGAUGUAAUGUUUAUGUAUAAGUUGCACCAAAAAUCAAGGACAAAAAUAAGUGUGUUUGUUUUUACAGGUGUGAAAGUCACAGCUUGUAAAUAAGUGUUGUAUGUAUUAAACCUUUUCCAGCUCUCCAAAGCGAUGUAUUUUUGUACAUUUGAAAUAGAGUACUCUUAAUUUACUGGGCAAAUGUGCUUGGAAUUGAACUUGACAAGAUUAGCUCAAGCAGAUAAAGUCAGGUCCAGCAGUGGGUGACCCUCGUGUGAAUCCCCGUGGAUGUGCAAGUCAUGGAGAGAAGGAGCACCGGGUUCCUGCCCAGCACUGUGCUUGUGAGAGGCGGCGGGGCGUGGGAGGAAGGAGGCACAGACCGGGGAAAUAUGACAGCCGUCAUUUCCAGUAUUCUCUAUGUUGUCUUUUAGCUCAUUCAACAAAUAAAGGUGAUGUGACUUUUUUUUUCCUCCUGUCUUUUUCGUUUGUAGAAAUUGGAGACGUGUAAAGAAGAUAAAUAAUUGUGUAAUUAAACUUUCCAGAAAUUUAUCUUCCUCAUAUGCAGUUUAAAACUAACAAACUUGGUCGAACUAGUUAGCAAAUCAGAACUUCAGAAUCUAAUGAUAGUUUAGGGUUUCUAAAAUAAGGUUUUUUAUUGUAAAAAUUGACGAUUGCCCUGCAUUUCUACCAAGUCCUGUGAAUAAAGAGAUGGGAGACUUGAUUCUGUCAGAAGAGCCUGUAAUCCGUGUUGUCAGCCUGGGAGCCUUCCCCAGCAUAAUGUAGCUUUCUCUCUUACCUUCUGGAAGAGGGAAUGUGAUUAAAUGUUUCAUUUAUUACUGUUUGAUUUUCUUGUAUCUGGGUUCUACUCCCAGGAUGAAAUUAUCCAACUACAUAUAUAUUUAGAGGAAGAAAGUGAAGGGGAAAUUUAAAAUGUUUACGGCGCUUUCUUAUUGCCUGGAAAUGGAAUGAAAUCAAAUUUAUCAGUUUUUUCCCCCUAAUUACCCAAAAGAUCUCUUGCAAACUGUUACAUGAAUGCUUCUGCCUCUUUAAGACAAAGAAGAAUGUCACCCAAAAUUGUCAUUUUUUUCUUAAUGUUCAUCAUAAAAGUCCUAAAAGAGUAACUGUAAUUGGAUGUUUAUUGUUUUAUAUAAAGUAAGGUCUAUGUGUUUGAGACAAGCUGGUUUUGUUGAUAAAGAUAUAAGAGAUGUUAAAUAAUUGUGAAGCCAGAUACACAAUGUGUAUCUAAAAAGCAAGGAAUUUGCAGCCGUUUUACAAAUAUCUGUGGAACAUGUAAGUACUGUCAAAUGGAAAAUAAAAUAAGUUAUAAUUUUUGUGAAUUUCAUGGGAUGUCCUAUGAUUGGAAAAAUUAUAACUCUUCUGAUUCUAAUGUGGAAAUUGUUGUAUUUAAUCUGAAAAUGACUUUACCUACAACAGUUCCAUCGUCAGCACAGCCUAGGAGGGUCAGAUUCCUGUAUUAAUUACUCUUAGUGGAGAUGCUAGAUAUCCCAUACAGAAUUAGCAGAGAAAAUACACACAGGCUUCUAUUCAAAUUUUCUUUAGUGCUUAAAAUUAAGUUUUAAAAUGAAAUCAGACACUGCAGGUUUAUACAUAAAGUGAAAAGCUAUACUACUUUUUAUAAAAGGGCAAACUGGGCUGAUCUAAAUGUUUUACUUUCAACUGUGUUCUUUAAAAUAAAUCCUACCUGGUUUUUAAAUUUUAUUUUUCAUGAAAAUGCUCCUUUCUUUACAUUUAUUCAUCCUAUAUACAUCAGGCUGUAAGACCCCCCCCCCCAGGCAUCAUUAAUACAAUGUGUUGGGAUUCUGUGACUGGAAAAGGUGACAAGUUGGUGACUUUGACACUGCAGGUAUUCCAUUUUCAUGGUUUACUACGAAAAGUCAUUUUUCAUAUUAUGUAAUAUAUUGUUAGAUUAAAACCAUUGUAUUAAGACUGUUUAAAAUGUAAGCAUUGUAAUUCUGAAAAUACACAUUUUAAGAAGAAA
RNAcentral lists this small RNA (5808 nucleotides) under Pongo abelii (Sumatran orangutan). Its description in RNAcentral is "retained intron". The record is from RNAcentral. Lineage: Eukaryota; Metazoa; Chordata; Mammalia; Primates; Hominidae.